GGAGGGGUUCCCGAGUGGCCAAAGGGAUCAGACUGUAAAUCUGACGUCUUCGACUUCGAAGGUUCGAAUCCUUCCCCCUCCA
Azotobacter vinelandii DJ is the source of this 82-nucleotide non-coding RNA. The record is from Rfam. Lineage: Bacteria; Pseudomonadati; Pseudomonadota; Gammaproteobacteria; Pseudomonadales; Pseudomonadaceae.